ACAGAGAAAUUGUUCAUGAAAGGAGGAGUCAAUCAAUGCAGCAAACUUCACCACUGUCUUAUUUUCAGAAAUUGCCAUGGCUACUCCCACCUUUAGCUACGACCACCCCGGUCAGUCAGCAGCCAUCAACAUUGAGGUCUUGAUUCUAGAGUUCAUCACUUCGAAUAAUUGUCUCCCUCACCAGAUUUGGAGCUCCUGUUGAGGAAAAACACUUUGAAUAAAUCAAUAUCUGGAACAAAAGCAAGAAGGACCUCACCAGAUGCUGCCCCUCAAUCUUGGAUUUCCUGGCCUCCAGAACUGUGAGCCAAUAAAUUUCUAUUCAUUCUGAAUUAACCAGUCUGUGGUAUUCUCUUAUAGCAGCACAAAAUGAACUGAGACAGGUGUGCUCACUCAGUGAAAAUGUUUUGAACUGCAUGCUUAUGCUUAUGAAUUGUUAACUUCUCUGCGUGCAUGUUACAUUUCAAUAAAAAAAGUUUACUCAGAAACAUAGA
RNAcentral lists this long non-coding RNA (491 nucleotides) under Homo sapiens (human). Its description in RNAcentral is "HSALNT0368830". The record is from RNAcentral. Lineage: Eukaryota; Metazoa; Chordata; Mammalia; Primates; Hominidae.